This 1287-nucleotide long non-coding RNA is filed under the name Taeniopygia guttata (zebra finch). Its description in RNAcentral is "lncRNA (ENSTGUG00000022861.1)". The record is from RNAcentral. Lineage: Eukaryota; Metazoa; Chordata; Aves; Passeriformes; Estrildidae.
AUGUCCCCCCCUCCCCACCCCGCAGCGACUUCGAUGCUCUGGACCCGCGGGACCCCCGGGGCAACAACAAACGGGUGCGUGGGGGGGGUGGGGGGCGCGGGGGGCUCCAGGGAUGGAGACCCCCCCCCACUGACUGCCCCCCCCCCCAAAUCCGUGCCCCUCCCCCCACAGGCCUUCGACGCCUUCGCGGCCUUGGGGGUCCCGCGGCUCCUGGACCCCUCGGACAUGGAGACCCCCGACCCCCUGGGGGUCAUGACCUUCCUCAGCCAGGUCCGAGCGAUCCUGGGGACCCCCCCGGGGACCCCCCCGGACCCCCGGAGCGGCUCCAGCGAGGGGGGGCCCCGAGAGACCCCCCAGGACCCCCAGAACCCCCCGGAAACCCAAACCGGGACCCCCCCGGACCCCCAGAGUGACGUCAUUGAGGGGGGGCCCCAAACGACCCCUCCCGGGACCCCCCCGGACCCCCAAAUCAGCGUCACCGAGGGGGAGCCCCAAGAGCCCCCCCGGCACCCCCGGACCCCCCCAGAGACCCAAACCGAGACCCCCCCGGACCCCCAGAGUGAUAUCACCGAAGGGGGGCCCCAAACGACCCCUCCCGGGACCCCCCCGGAACUCCAAAUCGGCGUCAGCGAGGGAGGGGCCCAAGAGCCCCCCCAGACCCCCCCAGAGACCCAAACCGGGACCCCCAUGGACCCCCAAAUCAGCAUCAGUGAGGGGGGGCCCAAAUUAACCCCCCCGGGAUCCCCCAGGACCCCCAAAACUGUUUCAGCGAGGGGGGGCCCCAAGAGCCCCCCCAGGACCCCCGGACCCCCCCAGAGACUCAAACCGGGACCCCCCCGGACCCCCAAAUCAGCAUCAGUGAGGGGGGGCUCCAAACGACCCCUCCCGGGACCCCCCCGGACCCCCAGAGUGACGUCACCGAGGGGGGGCCCCAAGAGACCCCCCCAGCCCCCCCCCCAGCUCGGCCCCACCGAGGGGGGGGCGCCCCCAGACCCCCCCGUGGAGGGGGAGCCCCCCCAGGACCCCCAGACUGACCCAGCCCAGGGGGGACCCCCACUCAGCCCCCCCCGGGACCCCCAAAAUGAGGCUGGGGAGGGGGGGGGCUCCCCCCAGCCCCUCCAGGACCCCCCCCCAGCCUUUGGGGAGGGGGCGGCCGGGCCCGGGCCCCCCCCCCGGCCCGUGGGGGUGGGGAGGGGUCUCCCCCCGCCCCCCCCCCGCUCCAGGAGCCUCCCCCGCCUGCGGGACCCCCCCCCGAAGGUGAGACCCCCCCCCCCAGAGCCCCCCUGA